Molecule: ribosomal RNA, 492 nt
Filed under: uncultured bacterium
Lineage: Bacteria
Description: partial 16S ribosomal RNA
Rfam family: Bacterial small subunit ribosomal RNA
Source: RNAcentral
AUUGAACGCUGGCGGCAUGCCUUACACAUGCAAGUCGAACGGUAACAGGCCUUCGGGUGCUGACGAGUGGCGGACGGGUGAGUAAUGCAUCGGAACGUACCCAGAGGUGGGGGAUAACGCAGCGAAAGCUGUGCUAAUACCGCAUGUGAUCUGAUGCUGAAAGCGGGGGACCGAGCAGCAAUGUUUGGCCUCGCGCCUUUGAAGCGGCCGAUGUCGGAUUAGCUAGUUGGUGGGGUAAAGGCCUACCAAGGCGACGAUCCGUAGCUGGUCUGAGAGGACGGACCGCCCAACUGGGACCGAGGAACGGCCCAGACCCCGACGGGAGGCAAGAGGGGGGAAUUUUGGGACAAGGGCCGAAGGCUGAUCCAGGAAAGCCGGGGGGGGGAAGAAGGCCCUCGGGGUGGUAACCGCUUUUGGCAGGAAAGAAACGGUGGCCGCUAAUACCGGGGGCGAAUGACGGUACCUGAAGAAUAAGCAACGGCUAACUACGUG